UACGUUGGAAACAGAUCAAAGAAACUUGUCGUUUCUCUACAAAAAUAGUUGACGUAAAUUAUAAAUUUAAUUGUCAACCCUAAAAAAUUAAUUUAUCAUAAUUUAAUUAAUAAACUAGUUUGUGUGUCCAUCAAAUUGCCAGUGGAAAUAUUAAAAUGAGCAACAAUGGCCGCAGAUCUAUCAUCAAUCUAACCUAAAGUUCAUUUGUCAAUAAAAAUAAAUUGAAUAUAUCAAGAAUAAGACACGAAUUCGUAAAAAAAAACAAUUCAGUUGAUCUAUAGAUAUUUUUAAUAGUCACUCGUUGAUUCGUCCAUUGCCUACUAAAUCAAAGGAAUUUUUUUUACCUUAACUUCAGUAAGAGGAUAUCGGCGAAUUGAUUGAAGCAGCUGAAAUUUCAUUCUGAUAUCAAUAAAAAAAAAACGAUUGUGAAGCUUCUUUACUUGGGGCAGUGAUAAAAACUGAGUUCUUCUAAAGUUUUUGUCAAAAAAAUGUAUCAUAGAUCAAGAAUACAUGCAACUGCAAUUUAAAAAGCGAAAUUUUAUUCCUGCGGAAUUGAUUUUGAAUUUAUUUUUUCAAGACUCAAUAAAUCUCUUUGUAUGAAAUCACAGUAUCAAAAAUCUUUUAUUAUUCCUUGAUUAUUAUUUGUUAUUAAGAUUAUUUCAUCAUUAAGUGAAGCAAAGGGCAUCAACUGAUAAAUCACAUGUUUUCGUAUGCUUCUGGAAAUAAAAAUUUAUUUCAAGAUACGCGCGGCUCAUUCUUGCGAAAAAUUUGUUACAUUUUAACAGAAAUUUCGAUUUAAGAAAAUAAUAGUAACGCAAAUGACUCGAAUUUACUUUUUAAAAGACAAUUUAUUACGAAUGACGACUUUAAUAUAAAAAAAACCUAAAUUCAAUGCAAAUGCAAUUACUAGCAAUUUGAUGGACGCAGAAACUAGUUCAUUAAUUAAAAUAUAAUAAAUGAAUUGUUUAGAGUUGACAAUUAAAUUUAUAAUUUGCGUUAACUAUUUUUGUAGGGAAACGACAAGUUUCUUUGAUGCUUUUCCAACGUAGAUCGCAUGCGCACUGAGAAAC
Microplitis mediator is the source of this 1070-nucleotide long non-coding RNA. RefSeq lists it as uncharacterized. Lineage: Eukaryota; Metazoa; Arthropoda; Insecta; Hymenoptera; Braconidae. The transcript is spliced from 3 exons. The record is from RefSeq and is a predicted model, not a curated record.